Long non-coding RNA from Panthera uncia (snow leopard), 481 nucleotides. RefSeq lists it as uncharacterized. The transcript is spliced from 2 exons. Lineage: Eukaryota; Metazoa; Chordata; Mammalia; Carnivora; Felidae. The record is from RefSeq and is a predicted model, not a curated record.
AACCACCCUCUUCCCCAUUCUAUUACCUUGGCGACAUGGCUGAAGACCAAUUGAAUGUGUAUGUGUAGGUCUACUUAGGGACUCUCUGUCCUGUGCUUCUGUGCUCUGUGUCUAUCACUUUGUCAAGUGCCACACUGCCUUUAUUACUGGAGCUUUAGACUAAUUCCAAAAUCAGAUGGUAGCCAUCCCUCGCCCUAGUCACAGCCAUCUGGUUUCCUUCUACAUCUUGCUAUCUCAGUAAAGCUAAAGGAACAAGCUGAUCUGCUGGGAGCAAAUCAAUUUCUCAUUAUCCUUAAUGUGUGAAGAUGAGACUACUGACAGUGAUCACAGUCUUUGUCUACGGAUAGGGUUGAAAACUUGUGUUUACAUAACAGAAAAUGUUUUCAUAUAGAAGAGCCGGAAUAGGCAUACAUGGCUGUGGGAUGCUGUGUCUUAACGUGGAAGCUAAUUCCUCUCAACAAAUAAACUUAGCAUUUCUCAA